This 385-nucleotide ribosomal RNA is filed under the name uncultured bacterium. RNAcentral describes it as "bacterial SSU rRNA". It matches the Rfam family "Bacterial small subunit ribosomal RNA", at positions 28 to 418 of the family's 1533-position model. The record is from RNAcentral.
GACGAACGCUGGCGGCGUGCUUAACACAUGCAAGUCGAGCGGUAAGGCCCUUCGGGGUACACGAGCGGCGAACGGGUGAGUAACACGUGGGUGACCUGCCCCCAACUCUGGGAUAAGCCCGGGAAACUGGGUCUAAUACCGGAUAUGACCUCUGGUCGCAUGACUGGUGGUGGUAAAGUUUUUCGGUUGGGGAUGGGCCCGCGGCCUAUCAGCUUGUUGGUGGGGUGAUGGCCUACCAAGGCGACGACGGGAGCCGGCCUGAGAGGGCGACCGGCCACACUGGGACUGAGACACGGCCCAGACUCCUACGGGAGGCAGCAGUGGGGAAUAUUGCGCAAUGGGCGGAAGCCUGACGCAGCGACGCCGCGUGGGGGAUGACGGCCUU